AAAGCUUUAAGUUAAAUAAACUAUUAACCUUCAAAGUUAAAAAUAUGUUAAACAUAAGCUUUA
Molecule: transfer RNA, 63 nt
Filed under: Dysdercus cingulatus
Lineage: Eukaryota; Metazoa; Arthropoda; Insecta; Hemiptera; Pyrrhocoridae
Also listed under: 2 other names
Description: tRNA-Trp
Source: RNAcentral